This 500-nucleotide ribosomal RNA is filed under the name Acinetobacter sp. WR0923. Its description in RNAcentral is "bacterial SSU rRNA". It matches the Rfam family "Bacterial small subunit ribosomal RNA", at positions 365 to 856 of the family's 1533-position model. RNAcentral also lists the same sequence under 1 other name. Lineage: Bacteria; Pseudomonadati; Pseudomonadota; Gammaproteobacteria; Moraxellales; Moraxellaceae. The record is from RNAcentral.
UGGACAAUGGGCGCAAGCCUGAUCCAGCCAUGCCGCGUGUGUGAAGAAGGCCUUAUGGUUGUAAAGCACUUUAAGCGAGGAGGAGGCUACUGAAGUUAAUACCUUCAGAUAGUGGACGUUACUCGCAGAAUAAGCACCGGCUAACUCUGUGCCAGCAGCCGCGGUAAUACAGAGGGUGCAAGCGUUAAUCGGAUUUACUGGGCGUAAAGCGCGCGUAGGCGGCUAAUUAAGUCAAAUGUGAAAUCCCCGAGCUUAACUUGGGAAUUGCAUUCGAUACUGGUUAGCUAGAGUGUGGGAGAGGAUGGUAGAAUUCCAGGUGUAGCGGUGAAAUGCGUAGAGAUCUGGAGGAAUACCGAUGGCGAAGGCAGCCAUCUGGCCUAACACUGACGCUGAGGUGCGAAAGCAUGGGGAGCAAACAGGAUUAGAUACCCUGGUAGUCCAUGCCGUAAACGAUGUCUACUAGCCGUUGGGGCCUUUGAGGCUUUAGUGGCGCAGCUAAC